This 2902-nucleotide ribosomal RNA is filed under the name Enterobacter hormaechei subsp. steigerwaltii. Its description in RNAcentral is "bacterial LSU rRNA". It matches the Rfam family "Bacterial large subunit ribosomal RNA". The record is from RNAcentral. Lineage: Bacteria; Pseudomonadati; Pseudomonadota; Gammaproteobacteria; Enterobacterales; Enterobacteriaceae.
UUAAGCGACUAAGCGUACACGGUGGAUGCCCUGGCAGUCAGAGGCGAUGAAGGACGUGCUAAUCUGCGAAAAGCGCCGGCGAGGUGAUAUGAACCUUUGACCCGGCGAUGUCCGAAUGGGGAAACCCAGUGCAAUCCGUUGCACUAUCGUUAACUGAAUACAUAGGUUAACGAGGCGAACCGGGGGAACUGAAACAUCUAAGUACCCCGAGGAAAAGAAAUCAACCGAGAUUCCCCCAGUAGCGGCGAGCGAACGGGGAGCAGCCCGGAGUCUGAAUCAGCUUGUGUGUUAGUGGAACGGUCUGGAAAGUCCGACGGUACAGGGUGAUAGUCCCGUACACGAAAGCACACAUGCUGUGAACUCGAAGAGUAGGGCGGGACACGUGGUAUCCUGUCUGAAUAUGGGGGGACCAUCCUCCAAGGCUAAAUACUCCUGACUGACCGAUAGUGAACCAGUACCGUGAGGGAAAGGCGAAAAGAACCCCGGCGAGGGGAGUGAAAAAGAACCUGAAACCGUGUACGUACAAGCAGUGGGAGCCUCUUUAUGGGGUGACUGCGUACCUUUUGUAUAAUGGGUCAGCGACUUAUAUUCUGUAGCAAGGUUAACCGUAUAGGGGAGCCGAAGGGAAACCGAGUCUUAACUGGGCGUUAAGUUGCAGGGUAUAGACCCGAAACCCGGUGAUCUAGCCAUGGGCAGGUUGAAGGUUGGGUAACACUAACUGGAGGACCGAACCGACUAAUGUUGAAAAAUUAGCGGAUGACCUGUGGCUGGGGGUGAAAGGCCAAUCAAACCGGGAGAUAGCUGGUUCUCCCCGAAAGCUAUUUAGGUAGCGCCUCGUGAACUCAUCUUCGGGGGUAGAGCACUGUUUCGGCUAGGGGGCCAUCCCGGCUUACCAACCCGAUGCAAACUACGAAUACCGAAGAAUGUUAUCACGGGAGACACACGGCGGGUGCUAACGUCCGUCGUGAAGAGGGAAACAACCCAGACCGCCAGCUAAGGUCCCAAAGUCAUGGUUAAGUGGGAAACGAUGUGGGAAGGCACAGACAGCCAGGAUGUUGGCUUAGAAGCAGCCAUCAUUUAAAGAAAGCGUAAUAGCUCACUGGUCGAGUCGGCCUGCGCGGAAGAUGUAACGGGGCUAAACCAUGCACCGAAGCUGCGGCAGCGACACUAUGUGUUGUUGGGUAGGGGAGCGUUCUGUAAGCCGUUGAAGGUGUGCUGUGAGGCAUGCUGGAGGUAUCAGAAGUGCGAAUGCUGACAUAAGUAACGAUAAAGCGGGUGAAAAGCCCGCUCGCCGGAAGACCAAGGGUUCCUGUCCAACGUUAAUCGGGGCAGGGUGAGUCGACCCCUAAGGCGAGGCCGAAAGGCGUAGUCGAUGGGAAACAGGUUAAUAUUCCUGUACUUGGUGUUACUGCGAAGGGGGGACGGAGAAGGCUAUGUCAGCCGGGCGACGGUUGUCCCGGUUUAAGCAUGUAGGCGGAGGUUCCAGGUAAAUCCGGUACCUUUUAACGCUGAGGUGUGAUGACGAGGCACUACGGUGCUGAAGUGAUAAAUGCCCUGCUUCCAGGAAAAGCCUCUAAGCAUCAGGUAACACGAAAUCGUACCCCAAACCGACACAGGUGGUCAGGUAGAGAAUACCAAGGCGCUUGAGAGAACUCGGGUGAAGGAACUAGGCAAAAUGGUGCCGUAACUUCGGGAGAAGGCACGCUGAUGUGUAGGUGAAGCCCCUGCGGGCGGAGCUGAAAUCAGUCGAAGAUACCAGCUGGCUGCAACUGUUUAUUAAAAACACAGCACUGUGCAAACACGAAAGUGGACGUAUACGGUGUGACGCCUGCCCGGUGCCGGAAGGUUAAUUGAUGGGGUUAGCGGCAACGCGAAGCUCUUGAUCGAAGCCCCGGUAAACGGCGGCCGUAACUAUAACGGUCCUAAGGUAGCGAAAUUCCUUGUCGGGUAAGUUCCGACCUGCACGAAUGGCGUAAUGAUGGCCAGGCUGUCUCCACCCGAGACUCAGUGAAAUUGAACUCGCUGUGAAGAUGCAGUGUACCCGCGGCAAGACGGAAAGACCCCGUGAACCUUUACUAUAGCUUGACACUGAACACUGGUCCUUGAUGUGUAGGAUAGGUGGGAGGCUUUGAAGCGUGGACGCCAGUCUGCGUGGAGCCAACCUUGAAAUACCACCCUUUAAUGGCUGGUGUUCUAACGUAGACCCGUAAUCCGGGUUGCGGACAGUGUCUGGUGGGUAGUUUGACUGGGGCGGUCUCCUCCCAAAGAGUAACGGAGGAGCACGAAGGUUGGCUAAUCCUGGUCGGACAUCAGGAGGUUAGUGCAAUGGCAUAAGCCAGCUUGACUGCGAGCGUGACGGCGCGAGCAGGUGCGAAAGCAGGUCAUAGUGAUCCGGUGGUUCUGAAUGGAAGGGCCAUCGCUCAACGGAUAAAAGGUACUCCGGGGAUAACAGGCUGAUACCGCCCAAGAGUUCAUAUCGACGGCGGUGUUUGGCACCUCGAUGUCGGCUCAUCACAUCCUGGGGCUGAAGUAGGUCCCAAGGGUAUGGCUGUUCGCCAUUUAAAGUGGUACGCGAGCUGGGUUUAGAACGUCGUGAGACAGUUCGGUCCCUAUCUGCCGUGGGCGCUGGAGAAUUGAGGGGGGCUGCUCCUAGUACGAGAGGACCGGAGUGGACGCAUCACUGGUGUUCGGGUUGUCAUGCCAAUGGCACUGCCCGGUAGCUAAAUGCGGAAGAGAUAAGUGCUGAAAGCAUCUAAGCACGAAACUUGCCCCGAGAUGAGUUCUCCCUGAGACUUUAAGUCUCCUGAAGGAACGUUGAAGACGACGACGUUGAUAGGUCGGGUGUGUAAGCGCAGCGAUGCGUUGAGCUAACCGAUACUAAUGAACCGUGAGGCUUAACCUU